This 253-nucleotide ribosomal RNA is filed under the name uncultured bacterium. RNAcentral describes it as "partial 16S ribosomal RNA". It matches the Rfam family "Bacterial small subunit ribosomal RNA", at positions 524 to 776 of the family's 1533-position model. The record is from RNAcentral.
UACGGAGGGUGCAAGCGUUAUCCGGAUUCACUGGGUUUAAAGGGUGCGUAGGUGGGUAAGUAAGUCAGUGGUGAAAUCUCCGGGCUUAACCCGGAAACUGCCAUUGAUACUAUUUGUCUUGAAUACUGUGGAGGUCAGCGGAAUAUGUCAUGUAGCGGCGAAAUGCUUAGAUAUGACAUAGAACACCAAUUGCGAAGGCAGCUGGCUACACAAAUAUUGACACUGAGGCACGAAAGCGUGGGGAUCAAACAGG